UACGGAGGGUGCAAGCGUUAUCCGGAUUCACUGGGUUUAAAGGGUGCGUAGGCGAGCAGGUAAGUCAGUGGUGAAAUCUCCGGGCUUAACCCGGAAACUGCCGUUGAUACUAUCUGUCUUGAAUAUCGUGGAGGUAAGCGGAAUAUGUCAUGUAGCGGUGAAAUGCUUAGAUAUGACAUAGAACACCCAUUGCGAAGGCAGCUUACUACACGAUCAUUGACGCUGAGGCACGAAAGCGUGGGGAGCAAACAGG
This 253-nucleotide ribosomal RNA is filed under the name uncultured bacterium. RNAcentral's name for it is "partial 16S ribosomal RNA". It matches the Rfam family "Bacterial small subunit ribosomal RNA", at positions 524 to 776 of the family's 1533-position model. The record is from RNAcentral.